GAUGAAGAACGUAGCGAAAUGCGAUAAGUAAUGUGAAUUGCAGAAUUCAGUGAAUCAUCGAAUCUUUGAACGCACCUUGCACUCCUUGGUAUUCCGAGGAGUACGCCUGUUCGAGUGUUAUGAAGCUCUCAAAACGCAAUUGGCUUAAAACCUGAUUGUUGUUUUGGAUUUGAACUUUGCCGUGUUAUAACGGCUGGUUUUAAAAGUAUUAGCUGGUACUAGAACGAAUUGGUUCUACUCAACGUGAUAAUUAUCUGAUCGUUGAGGACAUUCCUUUCACGAGGAAUGGCCAUAGUAAAUUCAAUGGACUGCUUCUAAUCUGGCUUUAAUUCUUUAUUGGAUUAACCACUUUUCAAAUCUGACAUCGAAUCAGGUGGGACUACCCGCUGAACUUAAGCAUAUCAAUAAGCGGAGGA
Molecule: unclassified non-coding RNA, 416 nt
Filed under: soil metagenome
Description: partial contains 5.8S ribosomal RNA, internal transcribed spacer 2, and large subunit ribosomal RNA
Rfam family: 5.8S ribosomal RNA (bases 1-120)
Source: RNAcentral